UUGACUCUGGCAACAAUAUAGUUAACUACCAAUUUUUUAUAGUUGACAUCGUAAAAAUUAUAGUUAACUAUCUAAUUUUUAUAGUUGACUCUGGAAAAAAUAUAGUGAACUAUCCGAUUUUAUAGUUGACUCGGAUAUAUGACUGUAAAUUUUUAAGUUUUUCGACAACAAUGAUCUCUUCUUUGUUGUGGACUCUGAUAAAACAAAUUUCAUACGAAAUAAAUAUUUAUGAGUCAACAAAUAGUGCGACCAUAGAUAUGUAGAUCUAAAAAACAAGCUUGUUUACAAACUCCAUUUUUGAAUAAUCAACCAUGGAAGAAUUCUGAACCGUCGCAUAUGGUCGUCGCGUACUGUUGCAUACGGAUCUGUAGGAGUCUUCGAUUUGUCGCCCGGAGUCGCUGAUAAUGGUGUCAGAAAGAGAAAUUAUGGGGUAAAUGCACAAAAUUAGGUUAAUAGAAGUCGGUGAUAGAGAUGGAUGUAUAGGAAACUACCUGUCUUCUUCUUGCCGUUCUUCACCAUUGUUUGUCAAC
Molecule: long non-coding RNA, 530 nt
Filed under: Erythranthe guttata (spotted monkey flower)
Lineage: Eukaryota; Viridiplantae; Streptophyta; Magnoliopsida; Lamiales; Phrymaceae
Description: long non-coding RNA (EGUT_LNC003592)
Source: RNAcentral